This 440-nucleotide ribosomal RNA is filed under the name uncultured bacterium. RNAcentral's name for it is "partial 16S ribosomal RNA". It matches the Rfam family "Bacterial small subunit ribosomal RNA", at positions 338 to 795 of the family's 1533-position model. The record is from RNAcentral.
CCUACGGGAGGCAGCAGUAGGGAAUAUUGCUCAAUGGGGGAAACCCUGAUGCAGCAACGCCGCGUGGGGGAUGAAGGUCUUCGGAUUGUAAACUCCUUUUGUUAGAGAAGAUAAUGACGGUAUCUAACGAAUAAGCACCGGCUAACUCCGUGCCAGCAGCCGCGGUAAUACGGAGGGUGCAAGCGUUACACGGAAUCACUGGGCGUAAAGAGCGCGUAGGCGGGAUAGCAAGUCAGAUGUGAAAUCCUGUGGCUUAACCAUAGAACUGCAUUUGAAACUGUUAUUCUAGAGUACGGGAGAGGUAGGUGGAAUUCUUGGUGUAGGGGUGAAAUGCGUAGAGAUCAGGAGGAAUACUCGUGGCGAAGGCGACUUGCUAGAAGGUAACUGACGCUGAGGCGCGAAAGCGUGGGGAGCAAACAGGAUUAGAUACCCUUGUAGUC